GACGAACGCUGGCGGCGUGCUUAACACAUGCAAGUCGAACGAAGCGAAUGAAAGCUUGCUUUUAUGAGCUUAGUGGCAAACGGGUGAGUAACACGUAGACAACCUGCCGACAGGAUGGGGACAACAUUCCGAAAGGAAUGCUAAUACCGAAUGAAGUCGAGGGAAGGCAUCUUCCUUCGAUGAAAGAUGGCCUCUAUUUAUAAGCUAUCACCUGUCGAUGGGUCUGCGUCUGAUUAGCUAGUUGGUGAGGUAACGGCUCACCAAGGCGACGAUCAGUAGCCGGUCUGAGAGGAUGAACGGCCACAUUGGGACUGAGACACGGCCCAGACUCCUACGGGAGGCAGCAGUGGGGAAUCUUCCGCAAUGGGCGCAAGCCUGACGGAGCAACGCCGCGUGAGUGAAGAAGGUCUUCGGAUCGUAAAGCUCUGUUGACGGGGACGAACGUACGGAGUGCGAAUAGUGCUC
This 465-nucleotide ribosomal RNA is filed under the name Selenomonas sp. oral taxon 149. RNAcentral's name for it is "bacterial SSU rRNA". It matches the Rfam family "Bacterial small subunit ribosomal RNA", at positions 28 to 471 of the family's 1533-position model. Lineage: Bacteria; Bacillati; Bacillota; Negativicutes; Selenomonadales; Selenomonadaceae. The record is from RNAcentral.